UAUCUUUCUAGUAUUUAAAGUUAGUACGAGUGACUUCCAAUCACCUAGUCUUGGUUAAACCCCAAGGAAAGAUAA
RNAcentral lists this transfer RNA (75 nucleotides) under Chrysichthys nigrodigitatus. RNAcentral describes it as "tRNA-Gly". It matches the Rfam family "tRNA". Rfam says of the family: Transfer RNA (tRNA) molecules are approximately 80 nucleotides in length. Their secondary structure includes four short double-helical elements and three loops (D, anti-codon, and T loops). Lineage: Eukaryota; Metazoa; Chordata; Actinopteri; Siluriformes; Claroteidae. The record is from RNAcentral.